This is a long non-coding RNA of Lolium rigidum, 825 nucleotides long. RefSeq lists it as uncharacterized. The transcript has 4 exons. The record is from RefSeq and is a predicted model, not a curated record. NCBI's taxonomy places the organism in Eukaryota, Viridiplantae, Streptophyta, Magnoliopsida, Poales, Poaceae.
GGGGAAGAACAGGGGAAGAAAGUUCACUUGACAUGGGAUCCUGACGUUGAGGCAUAUCUCACACUAACUGAAAUAAAGGAUAUGAUAGGUGCCCUAGCUUAAACGAAGGGAUUUCUGCCAGAGCAAGAGCUGUGGUGCUGCCCAUCGGCCAGGCUGCUCUGGCUGCUGGAGGUGCAGCCUAGGCCGUUGAACACAACCUUGUCGGCUGCAUUCAGGAGCAGGCUGUCGGCGGCCAACGCCGACAACAUCCGCUACAACCACGCAUUGAGCAAGCUGCGUCUUGGCCCCCUACACCGGAUCCUCACUCGCGCCCCGCCGUUCCGCCCCUGAGCGCAACGCUGCGGCUAAUCCUAGCUGUGGGCUCUGUUGCCACUGCGGUUCCCGUGCUGCCGCGCCUCCUGGUUGUCCCUUACGUCGUCCCAAAGCCACGCCGCACCCGCGGACCGGCAAGAAGCCUCUCCCGAAGGAUCAAGACCAGAAACUACCUGGAUUGGAGACAGAAAAAUGAGAGAUGAAACUUGAGCUUGAAGAAUACCAGGUGGAAACUAAAGAACCAAUAUGCGGCGAUUAAGCGACUUGUGGAGCGAAACCGCCAACUGGAACAAUAGAUUUUCAAUACAAUGCUUCUUACUGAGGAGGUUCUAUACAAUAGCGGGUAUAGCUAGCAACUUACUUGAAGGUCCCUUCAUAAUUUACAGUUCCUCUUUUUUCUUGUUAGUAGCAAAGUCUUAAGAAGUUGUUACUCAAGGAGACAAAAAAUCCAUCUGCAUGUAUGUAGAUGCACAGCUGGUGAAUGUGUAUUGACUAUUAGUUCGCAGCUUGUAC